This 656-nucleotide ribosomal RNA is filed under the name Bacillus sonorensis. Its description in RNAcentral is "bacterial SSU rRNA". It matches the Rfam family "Bacterial small subunit ribosomal RNA", at positions 88 to 728 of the family's 1533-position model. The record is from RNAcentral. Lineage: Bacteria; Bacillati; Bacillota; Bacilli; Caryophanales; Bacillaceae.
UAGGUUAGCGGCGGACGGGUGAGUAACACGUGGGUAACCUGCCUGUAAGACUGGGAUAACUCCGGGAAACCGGGGCUAAUACCGGAUGCUUGAUUGAACCGCAUGGUUCAAUUAUAAAAGGUGGCUUUUAGCUACCACUUACAGAUGGACCCGCGGCGCAUUAGCUAGUUGGUGAGGUAACGGCUCACCAAGGCGACGAUGCGUAGCCGACCUGAGAGGGUGAUCGGCCACACUGGGACUGAGACACGGCCCAGACUCCUACGGGAGGCAGCAGUAGGGAAUCUUCCGCAAUGGACGAAAGUCUGACGGAGCAACGCCGCGUGAGUGAUGAAGGUUUUCGGAUCGUAAAACUCUGUUGUUAGGGAAGAACAAGUACCGUUCGAACAGGGCGGUACCUUGACGGUACCUAACCAGAAAGCCACGGCUAACUACGUGCCAGCAGCCGCGGUAAUACGUAGGUGGCAAGCGUUGUCCGGAAUUAUUGGGCGUAAAGCGCGCGCAGGCGGUUUCUUAAGUCUGAUGUGAAAGCCCCCGGCUCAACCGGGGAGGGUCAUUGGAAACUGGGGAACUUGAGUGCAGAAGAGGAGAGUGGAAUUCCACGUGUAGCGGUGAAAUGCGUAGAGAUGUGGAGGAACACCAGUGGCGAAGGCGACUCU